UGUAACUAUGACUGAGGAGCUUAAUCUCAACACUCUGUCCUGUGUCCUGUUCUUUGAUCUUAUUUGUUUAUUUUUAAAAUACACAUUUUGCACUCACAAACACUUACAAUUUCUUUGUGUUUCUCGAGGCUGUGCAGAAUCUGUUGAAGGAAUCAUGACAGCUGAGAGUGUUUCAGUCAUCGACCUGCCCCACUGGGAGAGUGGAAAAAGGAGGAUUCGAUUCCUUUAUUUAGCUGCCAACAAUUCCUUCAGAGUUACCAAACAGUGUACAAAUGAGGAGCAGAUGAUCCCCCUUUUUCUUGGAGCUGAUCUUUUUUCCAACACAGAUGUCCGUACCGAAAACCAUCCCAGAUAUCAUGCAAAAUUUGCCAAAAAGGGACUGGCCACCAAGCUGGUCUUUUCCUCAGGUAUUUAUUAAUAUUUUUUUAUAUUAAUCAGGAGUGGUGUUUUUAUAAAGAUUUUAAACUUUAGUUUAAAAUGGAUGGAACAAAAGCACAUCACUGUAAUACUGGAGUAUUAUUUUUACUUCACUACUGUACUUAAUUACUAAAAUGCUGUAUCUGUAUCUACUAGAGUAUUAUUUUUACUACUUCACUACUGUACUUAAGUACUAAAAUACUGUAUCUGUAUCUACUGGAGUAUUAUUUUUACUACUUCACUACUGUACUUAAGUACUAAAAUACUGUAUCUGUAUCUACUGGAGUAUUAUUUUUACUAC
RNAcentral lists this long non-coding RNA (718 nucleotides) under Astyanax mexicanus (Mexican tetra). RNAcentral's name for it is "lncRNA (ENSAMXG00005011668.1)". The record is from RNAcentral. Lineage: Eukaryota; Metazoa; Chordata; Actinopteri; Characiformes; Acestrorhamphidae.